UUUUAACUAGCAGCGAAAUAUUGUUUCCACAAUGAACUGAUAACGCUAUAGUUGAAAAACCAUGAACUAUUAACACAUGGCUCUGUGCCAAGAGGUGUUGCUUUUACAGUACUAAAGUAAGAUUUUACUCCGCUCCGUCCCUUUAUAGUCCCAGCCAGGCUAAGACUUGUGGCCACGCAACAUAAGAUCACCAUGCAUCACAACUAAUAAUAAUGAACGGUUUCAUUGUGACCCAGAACUUACUGCAACAUGACAGUCAGCCGAAAUCCAAACCUUGAGAAUUUCGCACAAACUACAUUGCAGGUCUUAUAUUGCACGGCCACAAUUCCAUAUGUAGCCCUUUGCCUAAAUUAUAAAAUCAAACCACUUUAUACACUGACUCAAUGGCAUAGGGUGUUGUAACUAUUGUAAUACCACGAGAAAGUUUAGAGGCAGCAUGUUGUAUUAAUCCAAUGCAUGAUUUCACAUAUGCAAUAGCCUACCCAAACCCAUGCCAGUAACCAUGAUCUGGCCAAACCCCGAAUGAAUUGAUUAGUUGCUUUACAGAUCACUUUAUCUUGAAUGGGCUGCAUACAAAAACUAUAAAAGUUUCUGAAAUUCUACUUGUAGCAUUUUCAUUCUCAUCUGUAUAGAAAUGGUACUCAUUUAUUUUACAGCCAUUAUUGGCAAUAUGAAUGUGUUCUACCAUUAUCUUUUAUGCAUUCUUUCUUUGGACCACAUGUAGCGUUCUGUAAUGUAGCUCCUCGUGACUUGCUCAAUGAAUGAGAGGGCUCACAGACAAAAGAGACACAUGGGGCAAGCUACUUUUCACACUCAAUGGACAUGUUAGAAGGCAGUCUAAUGUACACAUAAUGUAAUGGUUCACAGUGACAUGGGUCACAUUCAUUGAAACAUUUAUGUCAUGGUUGCCUAGAACUUAAGAUAAUAGAAAACCCUUUAUUACACUCAAAGUGGUAUGGUUUUAGAUGUAGUUCACUUUGGCCACUUAUGUAUUCUCAGUUUUUGCAAAGGAUGAUUGAGGGCUCAUGCCCACAAGCGUACUUGCUCAGUGCCCAUAUUGUGACCGUUAACGGCCGGUCCGCAGUAUAGGGCACUGGCCAUGUGCACUUCGUAUCAGGGAUGUGGACCCGUUGACUUGACUGAAGAUAGUGCAUCACCUAUCUUUUUGCAGUGCAGAGGCACGGAUCGGAAGCACUUCCGUGGGUUUCUAAUUCGUGCCUUCGCACCACAGAACUAUAGAACAUGUUCUAUCUUUGGCCGUAUGUUGCGGAUCACAGACACAUUCAAGUGAAUGGUUCCGCAAUCCGCAAGCAGAGUGCACACGGCCGUUGCCAGUGCAUUGCGGACUGUCUACAGCAUGGGCAGUGAGCAAGUACACUCGUGUGGAAAAUGUGAAAUGUCCAACACCAGAGGUUAUUUUAAAAAGUUCUUCGUCUUAUAUAAGAUUCUCAAGACAAACUUUGCUUACUUAACUUUUGCUUUUCUACUAUGUGCCCUUUUGUUUGGCUAUGUUCCAGGCAUCAAGACCACAUGAAGGAAUGAUUGGCACUUGAUGUUAAGAGUGAGGAUAUAAACAUGUCGGUGUUACAUUUUCAAUUUCAUGACACUUUGUAGUAGUAGAAAUCCUAAAGCUUGCGUUGAUGAAAUAUUAAAAAGUUAGCAGGUGACAGAUAUAUGGAAUUGAAAAAUAUUUCCCAAGUAUUUUCAUGUUCUGUAUUGCAUCACACAUUCCCUAUGUUUCAGGCUUGCACUUAGUGGCUACUUCAUCUCAAGGCUGGUUGCCUGGGGAAAAUGAUUCAGUAAAUUAAUAAAUGUUAGGGCAAUGAAAUCAAGUUUAUUUUGCUGAUACAGGAGAAAUGCAAAAUGCCACAUGUGAUUAUUAGUUAUAUCUAAAAAUGUGUUUCUAGAUAAUGAUGUGUAAAUCCUCACUCAUCGUGCAGUAUUUGUGAUGUACACUAUCUUGCCUUUGAAAAUGUGUAUAAGUCUAGUAUAUGUCAGUGUUUUAAUUUAGCCCCGGAAGUUCUGUUAUAUUAGCCAUUCUGUGAACUAUCAAGCCGCAACGAAGAAUCAAAUUUUGGGCCUGUUUAGAUCCCCUAGCAAUUUAUUGCCAUUUUGCAAAUAUCUGACAGUAGCAUCACAUUGAAUCCUGUUCUAGGAAUUUCAUUUAUAUAACUUUUUGGAUUUCCAAUACACAUUAUGCUAUAUAUUGUACUUGUACAAAGGUUAUGCUAUUUUCUGCACAGUAACACUUGAUUGAAGAUUAAGUGGUGUGGCUGAAGAGCAGAUGCCGCAAUAUACUUUAUUACGCUUGGCAGUGUUUGAUUGCCUCUUUUUUUGUAUUUAUUAAUAGGAAAUAUGUAAUUUUUUUGUGCUCACCUUCGAUUUUUAAGCUAUGUAAUAGUUUUCUCCAUGCUCUUAAUCUACCCUAGAUACUGCACGAACAUGUUUGGAUUUGGUUAGCCAUGUUUCUUUACUGCAGUGACUUGUAACUACUUUGUUUUAGAUGCUAUUUAUUAUCUUAAUUGAUAAUCAGUAAUGACUUGUCUAUACAAUUUCCCUUGGUUUUACUCAGUUUGGAUUAGUAUCUCGGAGCAGCCAUUUCACAGCUUCUUUCAUUUUUAUUAUUUUUUUCUAGCUAAUUCUUUGAAACAAUUUUUUUCCGUCUUUCUUCCCAAUAUCGUUGUCACCACACCGUUUGGAGAUUGAAUUGAUUAUUGUAUUACCCUAUGUCACUUGUAUCAUAAUGGAUAGAACUGUUAUCUGUUGUAAUUACAGUCUGGAGACUUGUGCCAUAACAAUUGAUGUAACAUUGGUAGUAGAUGCUAUUAUCUCCACGAUCCCUGGGGGCCCAGCUGCUAAUCUUAUAUACUGUGCAUGCAGUUUCCUAUUUACCCUUACAUCAUGUAUUUAGUGUCAUUUAUGUGGAUGAUGAACUCUAUUUUUGUUGCUCCCAGAGAGACAGACAGCGCUUGUAAUACAUUUGUAUUUGGCUGGUUGCAUUAAGGGUAAGGAAAGAUGAGGUGGUUCCAACUUGGAUCUUUAUUGGAGCUCACGAACAUUAAGCUGUAUCUUCAGUUUCAUUUUAAAUGAACUUAAAUAAAUCCCUCAUGCAGGACUACUUAUUAGAAGCCAUUACUUUAGAUGUACAUACAUUUCUAAUGCAAGAUGACAGCAGUUGAAAGUAACUCAACUGUAAUAAUUGUUAAUUUAACUUACAAUGAGUAUUGCUUGAUAGCAGAAUGCAUGAACAGUGCAGAUAUGUAUUGAAAUAAAUACUCAAAUGUCUUGUCAGUGUUCUGACGGGAAAGUUUUGAAAGAAAAACUCGAUUUCCGUUGACGUUUUUGAUGCCAGAAUUAGGUGACAGAGAAUUUAUUAAGUUAAACUCAGUUCCUAACUGUUUAAGUUUUUAUUAAAUUACUUGAUAAUAUCCUGUUAAUAUAUACCAUGUUGUAUCUACAAAUAUGAUGAUAAAACAGCAUAAUAAACUAUAAGCCAUAUUACUGUACUUUAUCAGUGGUUACACACAAUUAAAGUGUGUUGCUAAGUAAGAAGAGGUCUAAUAAUCUAUACUGUCAACUUGCACAAGCUUCAAGGAGUAGAAGUAAUAGCCUGUUUUGGUGUUACAAAUUUGUUUCAUCAGUACAAACAAUAUCCUCUUCACCUUGUAUCUCGUGAUCUGUGUCCUGCUGCUGCUGCUAUACGUUAUGUUCAACAAAAUGCUAAAACAAAUUUAAAGCCUAAAGGCCCCCAUACACAUUGAUUUGUUGUUGCCAGAAACCCCCUGAGAGCAGCAUUUUCAGAUCACAGUGUAAUGUGUAUGGGGAGCUUCUGACUCUCCCCCAACAGAUGAUGUUGGGAAGAGAAAGAUUGGGCAAAGUGAAUGUUUUCGCCCAAUUCUUUAGUACUUCCAGGAGAUGAGCUGCCACCAGAACUGUCAGCUGAAAGCUAUUAAAUGUGUAUGGAAGCCUUAAAGGUGUUAUCCAACUCUUUGUAACAGGUCAUCUGAUUGGUGGGGGCCGCUAAUCAGCUGUUAGAGAUGGUGCUGGCACUCCUGUGAGCAUUGCGGCCUUCUCACUGCUUAACCUAGGCCAGCCACAUCACUCAUCGCCAUUUAAGUGAAUUUGACUGAGCUGUGAUACCAACCUCAGCCUCUGCACAAUGUGUGGCCCUGUGCUUGGUAUGCUGUGAGAAGGAGGUGGGACUCAGUAGAGCCACGAGACCUUCUCAAAUAGCUGAUCAGCGGAAGUCCGGGGUGUCGGACCCCCACUGAUCAGAUGCUGAUGACCUAUUCAGAGGGUAAUCCCUUUAACACAAUUGUAGUAAGCUGUAUACACAGAGUUCAGUUGAAUAACGUCCCUUUGCAGAACCUGGGGUUAUAUCUGUUCUUGUAUACCCCUUUCUUCAUUAUAUUCUGUGAGGUGUGUUAGUUCAGGUUGCUUGGCAACCAGUUGACUUCUUUUCUUGGUGACUACUACUUAGGUUUGUUUUAAGAUCUUCCAAAAAACGACAGGAAGCAUGAAAAUGGUGCAGAAAAUCAUGCAGCUUCAGGAUAAAAAAUUUGCUAGACAAGGGAGGAAAUAUGCAAGAUGUAGAAAGUUGUGUGUUCAAUGUGUACUGAAAAAAGACUUUGUAUAGCAAAUAGAUAAAGGAUUUUUCAAUCAUUAAAGGGCAGACCUGCAAAGAGAAGAAUACUUGCGUGCUUCUCUCCCCAGCCUCCGCUGCUCUGCUGGGCUUCAUGGAUGUAAACUUCCUGUUUGAUGCAGCUGUAGCCGACCUGCUUCUCUUGCAUCAUGACAAAUGGGAGGAGGCCACCGCUGCGGCAAGCAAUUAGCUGCAGUGGCAUCUAGAAAUUUGCAUACAGGGAGCGCAGUGGAGCAGCCAAGAUCCAAGAAGUGAAGGAGUUGGGACACAGCACCAGGAAGCAGGUAAAAAUGCUUCCCUUUGCAGUUUUGCUCAGGAGGAAGGGGGAUGCCAACCCCCAACCCCAACAAAAAAAGUUCCCCCAACCGCAACAAAAAAAGUUGCACAACUCC
Molecule: long non-coding RNA, 5034 nt
Organism: Bufo bufo (common toad)
Lineage: Eukaryota; Metazoa; Chordata; Amphibia; Anura; Bufonidae
Exons: 2
Source: RefSeq, a predicted model, not a curated record